GGAUGCGAUCAUACCAGCACUAAUGCACCGGAUCCAUCAGAACUCCGAAGUUAAGCGUGCUUGGCGAGAGUAGUACUAGGAUGGGUGACCCCUGGGAAGUCCUCGUGUUGCAUCCC
RNAcentral lists this ribosomal RNA (116 nucleotides) under Ipomoea nil (Japanese morning glory). Lineage: Eukaryota; Viridiplantae; Streptophyta; Magnoliopsida; Solanales; Convolvulaceae. The record is from RNAcentral.